GAUGAAGAACGCAGCGAAAUGCGAUAAGUAAUGUGAAUUGCAGAAUUCAGUGAAUCAUCGAAUCUUUGAACGCACAUUGCGCCCCCCAGUAUUCUGGCGGGCACGCCUGUUCGAGCGUCAUUUCAACCAUCAAGCCCUGCUUGUGUUGGGGUCCUGCGGCUGCCCGCAGGCCCUGAAAACCAGUGGCGGGCUCGCUAGUCACACCGAGCGCAGUAGCACAUCUCGCUCAGGGCGUGCGGCGGGCUCCAGCCGUUAAAGCACCCACCUUUCGCAAGGUUGACCUCGGAUCAGGUAGGAAUACCCGCUGAACUUAAGCAUAUCAAUAAGCGGAGGA
RNAcentral lists this unclassified non-coding RNA (334 nucleotides) under soil metagenome. Its description in RNAcentral is "partial contains 5.8S ribosomal RNA, internal transcribed spacer 2, and large subunit ribosomal RNA". The stretch from base 1 to 120 matches the Rfam family "5.8S ribosomal RNA", at positions 35 to 154 of the family's 154-position model. The record is from RNAcentral.